RNAcentral lists this ribosomal RNA (253 nucleotides) under uncultured bacterium. Its description in RNAcentral is "partial 16S ribosomal RNA". It matches the Rfam family "Bacterial small subunit ribosomal RNA", at positions 524 to 776 of the family's 1533-position model. The record is from RNAcentral.
UACGGAGGGUGCAAGCGUUGUCCGGAUUUAUUGGGUUUAAAGGGUGCGUAGGCGGCCCGUUAAGUCAGCGGUGAAAUCCCGGGGCUCAACCCCGGAACUGCCGUUGAUACUGGCGGGCUCGAGUUCGGUGAAGGCGGGCGGAACUGGCGGUGUAGCGGUGAAAUGCUUAGAUACCGCCAAGAACCCCGAUUGCGUAGGCAGCUCGCUGUGCCGAAACUGACGCUGAGGCACGAAAGCGUGGGGAGCGAACAGG